CCUUCCAAGAAAGCACCGGCUAACUCCGUGCCAGCAGCCGCGGUAAUACGGAGGGUGCAAGCGUUGCUCGGAAUUACUGGGCGAAAAGCGUACGCAGGCGGUCUGAUAAGUCGGGUGUGAAAGCCCCGGGCUCAACCCGGGAACUGCAUUCGAAACUGCCAGACUUGAGUUUGGGAGAGGGAAGUGGAAUUCCUGGUGUAGAGGUGAAAUUCGUUGAUAUCAGGAGGAACACCGGCGGCGAAAGCGGCUUCCUGGCCCGAUACUGACGCUCAUGUACGAAAGCGUGGGGAGCAAACAGGAUUAGAUACCCUGGUAGUCCACGCCGUAAACGAUGAGUGCUAGAUGUUGGAGGUAUUCACCCCUUCAGUGUCGAAGCUAACGCAUUAAGCACUCCGCCUGGGGAGUACGGCCGCAAGGUUAAAACUCAAAGGAAUUGACGGGGGC
Molecule: ribosomal RNA, 444 nt
Filed under: uncultured bacterium
Lineage: Bacteria
Description: bacterial SSU rRNA
Rfam family: Bacterial small subunit ribosomal RNA
Source: RNAcentral